This 292-nucleotide ribosomal RNA is filed under the name uncultured bacterium. RNAcentral describes it as "partial 16S ribosomal RNA". It matches the Rfam family "Bacterial small subunit ribosomal RNA", at positions 505 to 796 of the family's 1533-position model. The record is from RNAcentral.
GUGCCAGCAGCCGCGGUAAUACGAAGGGUGCAAGCGUUACUCGGAAUUACUGGGCGUAAAGCGCACGUAGGCGGUUACUCAAGUCAGAGGUGAAAGCCUGGAGCUCAACCCCGGAACUGCCUUUGAUACUGGUAGUCUCGAGUCCGGAAGAGGUGAGUGGAAUUCCGAGUGUAGAGGUGAAAUUCGUAGAUAUUCGGAGGAACACCAGUGGCGAAGGCGGCUCACUGGCCCGGUACUGACGCUGAGGUGCGAAAGCGUGGGGAGCAAACAGGAUUAGAUACCCCGGUAGUCC